RNAcentral lists this transfer RNA (72 nucleotides) under Dendronephthya gigantea. RNAcentral's name for it is "tRNA-Gly". It matches the Rfam family "tRNA". From Rfam's summary of the family: Transfer RNA (tRNA) molecules are approximately 80 nucleotides in length. Their secondary structure includes four short double-helical elements and three loops (D, anti-codon, and T loops). The record is from RNAcentral. Lineage: Eukaryota; Metazoa; Cnidaria; Anthozoa; Malacalcyonacea; Nephtheidae.
GCGUUGAUGGUGUAAUGGUUAGCAUUGCUGCCUUCCAAGCAGUAGAUCUGGGUUCGAUUCCCGGUCAACGCA